CCUACGGGAGACAGCAGUGAGGAAUAUUGGUCAAUGGACGCAAGUCUGAACCAGCCAUGCCGCGUGCAGGAAGACGGCUCUAUGAGUUGUAAACUUCUUUUGUACGAGGGUAAACGGAGAUACGUGUAUCUGUCUGAAAGUACCGUAUGAAUAAGGAUCGGCUAACUCCGUGCCAGCAGCCGCGGUAAUACGGAGGAUUCAAGCGUUAUCCAGAUUUAUUGGGUUUAAAGGGUGCGUAGGCGGCCGGAUAAGUCAGCGGUGAAAUCCGGAGGCUCAACCUCAGAAUUGCCUCUGAUACUGUGCGGCUAGAGAGUAGUUGCGGUAGGCGGAAUGUGUGGUGUAGCGGUGAAAUGCUUAGAGAUCACACAGAACCCCGAUUGCGAAGGCAGCUUACCAAGCUACGUCUGACGCUGAGGCACGAAAGCGUGGGGAGCAAACAGGAUUAGAUACCCGGGUAGUC
This 460-nucleotide ribosomal RNA is filed under the name uncultured bacterium. Its description in RNAcentral is "partial 16S ribosomal RNA". It matches the Rfam family "Bacterial small subunit ribosomal RNA", at positions 338 to 795 of the family's 1533-position model. The record is from RNAcentral.